AUAUAAAAAUUUCCUUUUGAAUUAGGAGAGAAAAAGUUAAAAUAAAUUUUUCUUU
RNAcentral lists this transfer RNA (55 nucleotides) under Leptotrombidium sp. TLMW-1. RNAcentral describes it as "tRNA-Gln". Lineage: Eukaryota; Metazoa; Arthropoda; Arachnida; Trombidiformes; Trombiculidae. The record is from RNAcentral.